AGGUGUGGGAGGUGUCGACUCCUUCCGUGCCGCAGCUAACGCAUUAAGCGCCCCGCCUGGGGAGUACGGCCGCAAGGCUAAAACUCAAAGGAAUUGACGGGGGCCCGCACAAGCAGCGGAGCAUGUGGUUUAAUUGGAUGCAACGCCAAGAACCUUACCAAGGCAUGACAUGUUCGGGAAAGCUGGAGAAAUUCAGCCCUCCUUCGGGACCCGAUCACAGGUGGUGCAUGGCUGUCGU
Molecule: ribosomal RNA, 238 nt
Filed under: uncultured bacterium
Lineage: Bacteria
Description: partial 16S ribosomal RNA
Rfam family: Bacterial small subunit ribosomal RNA
Source: RNAcentral